RNAcentral lists this ribosomal RNA (445 nucleotides) under uncultured bacterium. Its description in RNAcentral is "bacterial SSU rRNA". It matches the Rfam family "Bacterial small subunit ribosomal RNA", at positions 28 to 498 of the family's 1533-position model. The record is from RNAcentral.
GACGAACGCUGGCGGCGUGCUUCAUACAUGCAAGUCGAACGAGAAGUUACCUUCGGGUGAUGGAAAGUGGCGGACGGGUGAGUAAUAUGUAGGAAAUCUGCCCUUAAGAGGGGGACAACAGAGGGAAACUUCUGCUAAUACCCCAUAUGAGCGUAGCUGAAAUGCUAUUCUUGAAAACUCCGGUGCUUAAGGAUGAGCCUGCAUCUGAUUAGCUAGUUGGGGGUGUAAUGGACCACCAAGGCGACGAUCAGUAGCUGGUUUGAGAGGAUGAUCAGCCACAAUGGGACUGAGACACGGCCCAUACUCCUACGGGAGGCAGCAGUAGGGAAUAUUGGGCAAUGGGCGCAAGCCUGACCCAGCAACGCCGCGUGAAGGAUGAAGGCCUUCGGUUGUAACUUUGUUAUAAGGUACGAAGAUAGUGACGGUACUUAUAAGAAGCCCGGCU